GAUGAACGCUGGCGGCGUGCCUAAUACAUGCAAGUCGAGCGAACAGACGAGGAGCUUGCUCCUCUGACGUUAGCGGCGGACGGGUGAGUAACACGUGGAUAACCUACCUAUAAGACUGGGAUAACUUCGGGAAACCGGAGCUAAUACCGGAUAAUAUAUUGAACCGCAUGGUUCAAUAGUGAAAGACGGUUUUGCUGUCACUUAUAGAUGGAUCCGCGCCGCAUUAGCUAGUUGGUAAGGUAACGGCUUACCAAGGCAACGAUGCGUAGCCGACCUGAGAGGGUGAUCGGCCACACUGGACCUGAGACACGGUCCAGCCUCCUACGGGAGGCAGCAGUAGGGAAUCUUCCGCAAUGGGCGAAAGCCUGACGGAGCAACGCCGCGUGGGUGAUGAAGGUCUUCGGAUCGUAAAACUCUGUUAUUAGGGAAGAACAAAUGUGUAAGUAACUAUGCACGUCUUGACGGUACCUAAUCAGAAAGCCACGGCUAACUAC
RNAcentral lists this ribosomal RNA (494 nucleotides) under uncultured bacterium. RNAcentral describes it as "partial 16S ribosomal RNA". It matches the Rfam family "Bacterial small subunit ribosomal RNA", at positions 28 to 504 of the family's 1533-position model. The record is from RNAcentral.